GAUGAAGAACGUAGUGAAAUGCGAUAAGUAAUGUGAAUUGCAGAAUUCAGUGAAUCAUCGAAUCUUUGAACGCACAUUGCGCCCGCCAGUAUUCUGGCGGGCAUGCCUGUUCGAGCGUCAUUACGCCCCUCAAGUCCCCUGUGGACUUGGUGUUGGGGAUCGGCGAGGCUGGUUUUCCAGCACAGCCGUCCCUUAAAUUAAUUGGCGGUCUCGCCGUGGCCCUCCUCUGCGCAGUAGUAAAACACUCGCAACAGGAGCCCGGCGCGGUCCACUGCCGUAAAACCCCCCAACUUUUUAUAGUUGACCUCGAAUCAGGUAGGACUACCCGCUGAACUUAAGCAUAUCAAUAAGCGGAGGA
Molecule: unclassified non-coding RNA, 358 nt
Filed under: soil metagenome
Description: partial contains 5.8S ribosomal RNA, internal transcribed spacer 2, and large subunit ribosomal RNA
Rfam family: 5.8S ribosomal RNA (bases 1-120)
Source: RNAcentral